Long non-coding RNA from Seriola aureovittata, 779 nucleotides. RefSeq lists it as uncharacterized. The record is from RefSeq and is a predicted model, not a curated record. Lineage: Eukaryota; Metazoa; Chordata; Actinopteri; Carangiformes; Carangidae. The transcript is spliced from 3 exons.
UCCCGGCUGGCAGAUGGACUGUCAGAACAUCCAUAAAGUUUUAAAGUAUUUACCUGCUCCAGUGUCUUUACCGGCUCCAUUUGUGGGGCCCAUACCAGUGAUUAAGUCCCAGGCUGAAUUUCUUUCCCAGUCCGACCCUAGAGCCAAUACUAGCCUGGCUUUACCAUGAUGGAAAACCCUAUGACUGGCUAAAGGGCUCCAGUUGGACUCGGAACUGGCAUUUCUUCUCCAUGUGCAUGCUGCAGUGAAACAGAGGGAGGAGAGAGAUAGAGAGAGAGAGAGAGAGAGGAUAUGUUAUGAGGACACAAUGAGAAGCCAGACAAGGUAUGAAUGGGAAAAAGGUUUUAAAAAAAAAAAAAAAAGGGAGAAAAGACGAUGAAUUAAGAGUAAUAGAAAGGAAGAGGUGAGGGGACAGAGUGUGAUAAAGACACAGGGAAGAUGAAGAGAGGACAGAGGAAGAAAAGAGGGGAUGGUAAUUGAUUGUCUCGUUUCUCCACAUGCGCCUGUCACCGAGCUAAUUGGAGUGGCGAAGACAAAGAGGAGAGAGGUGUCAGUCACAUCAGAGCCUUUCAGGAGGGCAGUUCGUGUCAAGCUCUGAUGAGACGAACCCCCCACCCUCCCAUCCCUAACCUCAGGCUCUGACAAGGUGCAGUGUGACUGAAAGCUGUUCAUCCCCAAGGACCGUGAAAUCAACACUGGCCAUCUGUGCUGUAUGAUGCUGUAUGGCUUCGUUCUACCAUAUUGUUUGAUCAUAUACCAAGAUUAUAACAAAUAUAAUA